CUAUAACUGUCUUUUGCAGAGUGGUGAUCUCUGAAGUUACAAUACAGAAUGUACAUGCUGAUAGGGAAAUCCAAAACACACACACGAAGUAGCAGCAACUGCAUGUCCCCAAAACCUCCUGGUACAUUUGAAGGAGAGAAAGACAUAUCUUCAGAAGACAGAAUGUGGUGUCCAAAGUUAGACCAGGUGGAAAUCCCAGCAGGACCUACUGCACCAGUCACUCUGACUUUUAUCAAGUAGUACAUCAACUGUCUGGUAAAA
Long non-coding RNA from Empidonax traillii (willow flycatcher), 261 nucleotides. RefSeq lists it as uncharacterized. The transcript is spliced from 2 exons. NCBI's taxonomy places the organism in Eukaryota, Metazoa, Chordata, Aves, Passeriformes, Tyrannidae. The record is from RefSeq and is a predicted model, not a curated record.